GUGCUUGCUUCAGCAGCACAUAUCCUAAAAUUGAAAUGAUACAGAGAAAAUUAGCAUGACCCCUACCCAAGGAUGACACACAAAUUCAUGAAGCAUUCCAUAUUUAA
Molecule: small nuclear RNA, 107 nt
Filed under: Carlito syrichta (Philippine tarsier)
Lineage: Eukaryota; Metazoa; Chordata; Mammalia; Primates; Tarsiidae
Source: RNAcentral